AGUGAACGCUGGCGGCGUGCUUAACACAUGCAAGUCGAACGAGAACGGAUUAUAGCUUGCUAUAAUUGUCAGCUAAGUGGCGCACGGGUGAGUAAUGUAUAGGUAAUAUGCCUCUUACUAAGGGAUAACAAUUGGAAACGAUUGCUAAUACCUUAUAUUCCUUUUUAUCAAAAGAUAAAAAGGGAAAGAUUUAUUGGUAAGAGAUUAGCCUGUAUUGUAUCAGUUAGUUGGUGGGGUAAUGGCCUACCAAGACGAUGACGCAUAACUGGUUUGGGGGGAGAAUCAGUCACCCGGGAACUGUGAAACGGUCCAGACUCCGACGGGAGGCAGCAGUGGGGAAUAUUGCACAAUGGACGAAAGUCUGUUGCAGCAACGCCGCGUGGAGGAGGAAACAUUUCGGUGCGUAAACUCCUUUUAUAUAAGAAGAUAAUGACGGUAUUAUAUGAAUAAGCACCGGUUAACCCCGUGCCAGCCGCCGCGGUAA
This 484-nucleotide ribosomal RNA is filed under the name uncultured bacterium. RNAcentral's name for it is "partial 16S ribosomal RNA". It matches the Rfam family "Bacterial small subunit ribosomal RNA", at positions 29 to 523 of the family's 1533-position model. The record is from RNAcentral.